GGAGGGGGCUAGCGUUGUUCGGAAUUAUUGGGCGUAAAGGGCGCGUAGGCGGCCACAUAAGUCGGUUGUGAAAUCCCUUGGCUCAACCAAGGAACUGCGUCCGAAACUGUGUGGCUCGAGUCCGGGAGAGGGUAGUGGAAUUCCCAGUGUAGCGGUGAAAUGCGUAGAUAUUGGGAGGAACACCGGUGGCGAAGGCGGCUACCUGGACCGGUACUGACGCUGAGGCGCGAAAGCUAGGGGAGCAAACAGGAUUAGAUACCCUGGGUAGUCCUAGCCGUAAACGAUGAGCACUUGGUGUAGCGGGUAUUGACCCCCCUGCUGUGCCGGAGCUAACGCAUUAAGUGCUCCGCCUGGGGGAGUACGGUCGCAAGGCUG
RNAcentral lists this ribosomal RNA (375 nucleotides) under uncultured organism. Its description in RNAcentral is "partial 16S ribosomal RNA". It matches the Rfam family "Bacterial small subunit ribosomal RNA", at positions 527 to 896 of the family's 1533-position model. The record is from RNAcentral.